Molecule: ribosomal RNA, 427 nt
Filed under: uncultured bacterium
Lineage: Bacteria
Description: partial 16S ribosomal RNA
Rfam family: Bacterial small subunit ribosomal RNA
Source: RNAcentral
UGGGGAAUAUUGCACAAUGGGCGCAAGCCUGAUGCAGCCAUGCCGCGUGUAUGAAGAAGGCCUUCGGGUUGUAAAGUACUUUCAGCGGGGAGGAAGGGAGUAAAGUUAAUACCUUUGCUCAUUGACGUUACCCGCAGAAGAAGCACCGGCUAACUCCGUGCCAGCAGCCGCGGUAAUACGGAGGGUGCAAGCGUUAAUCGGCAUUACUGGGCGUAAAGCGCACGCAGGCGGUUUGUUAAGUCAGAUGUGAAAUCCCCGGGCUCAACCUGGGAACUGCAUCUGAUACUGGCAAGCUUGAGUCUCGUAGAGGGGGGUAGAAUUCCAGGUGUAGCGGUGAAAUGCGUAGAGAUCUGGAGGAAUACCGGUGGCGAAGGCGGCCCCCUGGACGAAGACUGACGCUCAGGUGCGGAAGCGUGGGGAGCAAACA